GGGCUGCUGGCGCAACGGUAGCGCGUUCGACUCCAGAAUAAAAGCUUUAGUUAAGCCUUAACUAAGCUAUUACUGAGUAAAUCGAAAGGUUAUCCGUUCAAAUCGGGUGCGGCUCA
Neohortaea acidophila is the source of this 116-nucleotide non-coding RNA. NCBI's taxonomy places the organism in Eukaryota, Fungi, Ascomycota, Dothideomycetes, Mycosphaerellales, Teratosphaeriaceae. The record is from the annotation of a RefSeq genome assembly.